AGUGAACGCUGGCGGUAGGCCUAACACAUGCAAGUCGAACGGCAGCACAGUAAGAGCUUGCUCUUACGGGUGGCGAGUGGCGGACGGGUGAGGAAUACAUCGGAAUCUACUUUUUCGUGGGGGAUAACGUAGGGAAACUUACGCUAAUACCGCAUACGACCUACGGGUGAAAGCAGGGGAUCUUCGGACCUUUCGCGAUUGAAUGAGCCGAUGUCGGAUUAGCUAGUUGGUGGGGUAAAGGCCCACCAAGGCGACGAUCCGUAGCUGGUCUGAGAGGAUGAUCAGCCACACUGGAACUGAGACACGGUCCAGACUCCUACGGGAGGCAGCAGUGGGGAAUAUUGGACAAUGGGCGCAAGCCUGAUCCAGCCAUACCGCGUGGGUGAAGAAGGCCUUCGGGUUGUAAAGCCCUUUUGUUGGGAAAGAAAAGCAGCAGGUUAAUACCCCGCUGUUCUGACGGUACCCAAAGAAUAAGCACCGGCUAACUUCGUG
This 492-nucleotide ribosomal RNA is filed under the name uncultured bacterium. RNAcentral describes it as "partial 16S ribosomal RNA". It matches the Rfam family "Bacterial small subunit ribosomal RNA", at positions 29 to 507 of the family's 1533-position model. The record is from RNAcentral.